GGUUAAGUUAGAAAGGGCGCACGGUGGAUGCCUUGGCACUAGGAGCCGAAGAAGGACGGGACUAACACCGAUAUGCUUUGGGGAGCUGUACGUAAGCGUUGAUCCAGAGAUUUCCGAAUGGGGGAACCCACUAUCUUUAGUCGGAUAGUAUCCUUACGUGAAUACAUAGCGUGAGGAAGGCAGACCCAGGGAACUGAAACAUCUAAGUACCUGGAGGAAGAGAAAGAAAAAUCGAUUUCCUGAGUAGCGGCGAGCGAAACGGAAAGAGCCCAAACCAAGAAGCUUGCUUCUUGGGGUUGUAGGACACUCUAUACGGAGUUACAAAAGAAAGUUAUAAAUGAAGCGGUCUGGAAAGGCCCGCCAAAGACGGUAACAGCCCGGUAGUUGAAAUGGCUUUCCCUCCAGAGUGGAUCCUGAGUACGGCGGAACACGUGAAAUUCCGUCGGAAUCCGGGAGGACCAUCUCCCAAGGCUAAAUACUCCCUAGUGACCGAUAGUGAACCAGUACCGUGAGGGAAAGGUGAAAAGCACCCCGGAAGGGGAGUGAAACAGUUCCUGAAACCGUGUGCCUACAAGUAGUUAGAGCCCGUUAAUGGGUGAUAGCGUGCCUUUUGUAGAAUGAACCGGCGAGUUACGAUUUGUUGCAAGGUUAAGCGGAAAAAGCGGAGCCGUAGCGAAAGCGAGUCUGAAUAGGGCGCAUAAGUAACAGGUCGUAGACCCGAAACCAGGUGAUCUACCCAUGUCCAGGAUGAAGGUAAGGUAAUACUUACUGGAGGUCCGAACCCACGCACGUUGAAAAGUGCGGGGAUGAGGUGUGGGUAGCGGAGAAAUUCCAAUCGAACUUGGAGAUAGCUGGUUCUCUCCGAAAUAGCUUUAGGGCUAGCCUCGAGGUAAAGAGUCAUGGAGGUAGAGCACUGUUUGGACUAGGGGCCCUUCUCGGGUUACCGAAUUCAGAUAAACUCCGAAUGCCAUGUACUUAUACUCGGGAGUCAGACUGCGAGUGAUAAGAUCCGUAGUCGAAAGGGAAACAGCCCAGACCACCAGUUAAGGUCCCCAAAUAUAUGUUAAGUGGAAAAGGAUGUGGGGUUGCUUAGACAACCAGGAUGUUGGCUUAGAAGCAGCCACCAUUGAAAGAGUGCGUAAUAGCUCACUGGUCGAGUGACCCCGCGCCGAAAAUGUACCGGGGCUAAACAUAUUACCGAAACUGUGGAUGAACCUCUUUAGAGGUUCGUGGUAGGAGAGCGUUCUAAGGGCGGUGAAGUCAGACCGGAAGGACUGGUGGAGCGCUUAGAAGUGAGAAUGCCGGUAUGAGUAGCGAAAGAAGGGUGAGAAUCCCUUCCACCGAAUAUCUAAGGUUUCCUGAGGAAGGCUCGUCCGCUCAGGGUUAGUCGGGACCUAAGCCGAGGCCGAUAGGCGUAGGCGAUGGACAACAGGUAGAGAUUCCUGUACCAGUGCUAAUUGUUUAACCGAUGGGGUGACACAGAAGGAUAGGGAAUCGCACGAAUGGAAAUGUGCGUCCAAGCAGUGAGUGUGAGAAGUAGGCAAAUCCGCUUCUCGNNNNNNNNNNNNNNNNNNNNNNNNNNNNNNNNNNNNNNNNNNNNNNNNNNNNNNNNNNNNNNNNNNNNNNNNNNNNNNNNNNNNNNNNNNNNNNNNNCACGAAGCAUGAGCUGUGAUGGGGAAGGAAAUUAAGUACGGAAGUUCCUGAUUUCACGCUGUCAAGAAAAGCCUCUAGGAAGAGUAGUACUGCCCGUACCGCAAACCGACACAGGUAGAUGAGGAGAGAAUCCUAAGGUGAGCGAGAGAACUCUCGUUAAGGAACUCGGCAAAAUGACCCCGUAACUUCGGGAGAAGGGGUGCUCUAUUAGGGUGCAAGCCCGAGAGAGCCGCAGUGAAUAGGCCCAGGCGACUGUUUAGCAAAAACACAGGUCUCUGCAAAACCGUAAGGUGACGUAUAGGGGCUGACGCCUGCCCGGUGCUGGAAGGUUAAGAGGAGUGCUUAGCUUCGGCGAAGGUACGAAUUGAAGCCCCAGUAAACGGCGGCCGUAACUAUAACGGUCCUAAGGUAGCGAAAUUCCUUGUCGGGUAAGUUCCGACCCGCACGAAAGGCGCAACGAUCUGGGCACUGUCUCAACGAGAGACUCGGUGAAAUUAUAGUACCUGUGAAGAUGCAGGUUACCCGCGACAGGACGGAAAGACCCCGUGGAGCUUUACUGCAACCUGAUAUGGAAUGUUUGUACCGCUUGUACAGGAUAGGUAGGAGCCGAAGAGACGUGUGCGCUAGCAUACGAGGAGGCAAUGGUGGGAUACUACCCUGGCUGUAUGACCAUUCUAACCCGCCACGCUUAGCGCGUGGGGAGACAGUGUCAGGUGGGCAGUUUGACUGGGGCGGUCGCCUCCUAAAGAGUAACGGAGGCGCCCAAAGGUUCCCUCAGAAUGGAUGGAAAUCAUUCGCAGAGUGUAAAGGCACAAGGGAGCUUGACUGCGAGACUGACAAGUCGAGCAGGGACGAAAGUCGGGCUUAGUGAUCCGGUGGUUCCGCAUGGAAGGGCCAUCGCUCAACGGAUAAAAGCUACCCCGGGGAUAACAGGCUUAUCUCCCCCAAGAGUCCACAUCGACGGGGAGGUUUGGCACCUCGAUGUCGGCUCGUCGCAUCCUGGGGCUGUAGUCGGUCCCAAGGGUUGGGCUGUUCGCCCAUUAAAGCGGCACGCGAGCUGGGUUCAGAACGUCGUGAGACAGUUCGGUCCCUAUCCGUCGCGGGCGCAGGAAAUUUGAGAGGAGCUGUCCUUAGUACGAGAGGACCGGGAUGGACACACCGCUGGUGUACCAGUUGUUCCGCCAGGAGCAUCGCUGGGUAGCUAUGUGUGGCAGGGAUAAACGCUGAAAGCAUCUAAGCGUGAAGCCCCCCUCAAGAUGAGAUUUCCCAUUUCUUCGGAAAGUAAGAUCCCUGAAAGAUGAUCAGGUAGAUAGGUUUGGAGUGGAAGUGUAGCGAUACAUGGAGCGGACAAAUACUAAUCGAUCGAGGACUUAACCAA
Molecule: ribosomal RNA, 3031 nt
Filed under: Listeria monocytogenes
Lineage: Bacteria; Bacillati; Bacillota; Bacilli; Caryophanales; Listeriaceae
Description: 23S ribosomal RNA
Rfam family: Bacterial large subunit ribosomal RNA
Source: RNAcentral